UUGUGCAAUGAAUUAACGUCUAUAUAAAGUACGGCAUUGACCCGUGAGAUGUGUUCCACUUAUCUGUUUCAUUGUCGACACGAUCUACUGCGCAUCUUUGCACUGAAUCGACACACUCAAAAUUUGGCACACAUAAUUGAUUAUCCUACGAAGAACGGCGCAGGGAUCUGAGAGACCCAAGGAAUGAACUUGGAGGCGGAGCCUAUUGUGAGCGUGAUGCUUCACAUCAGUCAUAACGGUUCUCUGUUCAUCAAAGAGCAGGAAUUCAGUCUGCUGUCCACGGUUGGACAGCUUAAGGAAGACAUGGAAAAAGAGCUGGAUAUCCCGCAGCGGCAUCAGCUCU
Molecule: long non-coding RNA, 343 nt
Filed under: Pomacea canaliculata
Lineage: Eukaryota; Metazoa; Mollusca; Gastropoda; Architaenioglossa; Ampullariidae
Description: uncharacterized LOC112566308, transcript variant X1
Source: RNAcentral